RNAcentral lists this ribosomal RNA (497 nucleotides) under uncultured bacterium. RNAcentral describes it as "partial 16S ribosomal RNA". It matches the Rfam family "Bacterial small subunit ribosomal RNA", at positions 28 to 507 of the family's 1533-position model. The record is from RNAcentral.
GAUGAACGCUGGCGGCGUGUCUAAUACAUGCAAGUCGAGCGAACGGACGAGAAGCUUGCUUCUCUGAUGUUAGCGGCGGACGGGUGAGUAACACGUGGAUAACCUACCUAUAAGACUGGGAUAACUUCGGGAAACCGGAGCUAAUACCGGAUAAUAUUUUGAACCGCAUGGUUCAAAAGUGAAAGACGGUCUUGCUGUCACUUAUAGAUGGACCCGCGCUGCAUUAGCUAGUUGGUAAGGUAACGGCUUACCAAGGCAACGAUGCAUAGCCGACCUGAGAGGGUGAUCGGCCACACUGGAACUGAGACACGGUCCAGACUCCGACGGGAGGCAGCAGUAGGGAAUCUUCCGCAAUGGGCGAAAGCCUGACGGAGCAACGCCGCGUGGGUGAUGAAGGUCUACGGAUCGUAAAACUCUGUUAUUAGGGAGGAACAUAUGUGUAAGUAACUGUGCACAUCUUGACGGUACCGAAUCAGAAAGCCACGGCUAACUACGUG